GGCUCAGAUUGAACGCUGGCGGCAGGCCUAACACAUGCAAGUCGAGCGGUAGAGAGGUGCUUGCAUCUCUUGAGAGCGGCGGACGGGUGAGUAAUGCCUAGGAAUCUGCCUAGUGGUGGGGGAUAACGUUCGGAAACGGACGCUAAUACCGCAUACGUCCUACGGGAGAAAGCGGGGGGAUCUUCGGACCUCGCGCCAUUAGAUGAGCCUAGGUCGGAUUAGCUAGUUGGUGAGGUAAUGGCUCACCAAGGCGACGAUCCGUAACUGGUCUGAGAGGAUGAUCAGUCACACUGGAACUGAGACACGGUCCAGACUCCUACGGGAGGCAGGCAGUGGGGAAUAUUGGACAAUGGGCGAAAGCCUGAUCCAGCCAUGCCGCGUGUGUGAAGAAGGUCUUCGGAUUGUAAAGCACUUUAAGUUGGGAGGAAGGGCAGUAAGUUAAUACCUUGCUGUUUUGACGUUACCAACAGAAUAAGCACCGGCUAACUUCGUG
Molecule: ribosomal RNA, 493 nt
Filed under: uncultured bacterium
Lineage: Bacteria
Description: bacterial SSU rRNA
Rfam family: Bacterial small subunit ribosomal RNA
Source: RNAcentral